Molecule: small nucleolar RNA, 211 nt
Filed under: Morus notabilis
Lineage: Eukaryota; Viridiplantae; Streptophyta; Magnoliopsida; Rosales; Moraceae
Description: Plant small nucleolar RNA U3
Rfam family: Plant small nucleolar RNA U3
About the family: Small nucleolar RNAs (snoRNAs) are involved in the processing and modification of rRNA in the nucleolus. There are two main classes of snoRNAs: the box C/D class, and the box H/ACA class.
Source: Rfam by way of RNAcentral
ACGAUCUUACUUGAACAGGAUCUGUUCUAUAGGCUCGUACCUCUGUAUUCUUGAGUUCUAAGGAGACAGGAACCUCAACCUGGUGGAUGAAUUACGGCCGUGUGAUCAGAGCGUGAUUAACAGUUGAUGGUUCACGGAUAAUCUCAGCUGUAGAGGAUCGUUCUCGGUUAGCUUUGCUGGCUGGGAUGGUCACACGGUUGUCUGACGGGUU